Molecule: ribosomal RNA, 362 nt
Filed under: Microspio granulata
Lineage: Eukaryota; Metazoa; Annelida; Polychaeta; Spionida; Spionidae
Description: partial 16S ribosomal RNA
Rfam family: Bacterial large subunit ribosomal RNA
Source: RNAcentral
AGGUAGCAUAAUCAUUUGUCUUUUAAUUGGAGACUAGUAUGAACGAGAAUAUGCCUCACCUACUUUUCUAAUUUAAUCUACUGAAAUUAAUCUAUAGGUGAAUAAGCCUAUAUUAUAAAUAAAGACAGAAAGACCCUAUAGAGCUUUAUCCUCAUAUUUAUCAUAUGAAUAAAGGAUUUUAUUGGGGCAAUAUAAGAUUAACAUAAACAUCUUAAUAUACAGAUCACUAGAUAGCUACCUUAGGGAUAACAGACUAAUAUAUUAAUAAAGCUCUUAUUUGUUAAUUUGCUUAGUACCUCGAUGUUGGUUUAGGGUUUCCAAUUGGUGUAGCCGCUAAUAGGGAUGGGUUGUUCACCCAUUAA